RNAcentral lists this ribosomal RNA (251 nucleotides) under uncultured bacterium. RNAcentral describes it as "partial 16S ribosomal RNA". It matches the Rfam family "Bacterial small subunit ribosomal RNA", at positions 524 to 773 of the family's 1533-position model. The record is from RNAcentral.
UACGGAGGGGGCUAGCGUUAUUCGGAAUUACUGGGCGUAAAGCGCACGUAGGCGGCUUUGUAAGUCAGAGGUGAAAGCCUGGAGCUCAACUCCAGAACUGCCUUUGAGACUGCAUCGCUUGAAUCCAGGAGAGGUGAGUGGAAUUCCGAGUGUAGAGGUGAAAUUCGUAGAUAUUCGCAAGAACACCAGUGGCGAAGGCGGCUCACUGGCCCGAGUACUGACGCUGAGGCACGAAAGCGUGGGGAGCAAAC